Molecule: unclassified non-coding RNA, 404 nt
Filed under: soil metagenome
Description: partial contains 5.8S ribosomal RNA, internal transcribed spacer 2, and large subunit ribosomal RNA
Rfam family: 5.8S ribosomal RNA (bases 1-122)
Source: RNAcentral
GAUGAAGAACUUAGCAAAAUGCGAUACUUGGUGUGAAUUGCAGAAUCCCGUGAACCAUCGAGUUUUUGAACGCAAGUUGCGCCCGAAGCCUUUUGGCCGAGGGCACGUCUGCCUGGGCGUCACGCAUCGCGUCGCCCCCCACAAUUCUCCGUAAAGGGAACGUGUGUUUUGGGGGCGGAUAUUGGUCUCCCGUGCUCAUGGCGUGGUUGGCCGAAAUAGGAGUCCUUUCGAUGGACGCACGAACUAGUGGUGGUCGUAAAAACCCUCGUCUUUUGUUUCGUGCUGUUGCUCGCAAGGUAAACUCUUUAAAAACCCCAAUGUGUCGUCUCUUGACGACGCUUCGACCGCGACCCCAGGUCAGGCGGGACUACCCGCUGAGUUUAAGCAUAUCAAUAAGCGGAGGA